This 66-nucleotide ribosomal RNA is filed under the name Cryptocephalus pusillus. RNAcentral describes it as "12S ribosomal RNA". The record is from RNAcentral. Lineage: Eukaryota; Metazoa; Arthropoda; Insecta; Coleoptera; Chrysomelidae.
AUCGCCCGUCGCUUUUGUGCUUCAAAAUAAGUCGUAACAUAGUAGAUUUAUCGGAAGAUGGCUCUA